UGGGCUGGGGCUCCUUUCCUCCUCACUCAGGUUCGUUCUGCCCCCAGCCCCCUGCCCCCUGCCUGCUCUGCGAGCGGCAGCGCGUGCUCACCGCUGAAGUGUCUGCUCGCUUGGAUCUGGGCUCUGUGCCAGUGCCUCUGGGUCCCCUCCUGACAGCCUAGGCGCAGGGCUGGUGCCGCCCCCACCAGCGGGCUCGGGCGGGCAGCACUGUCUCUGCUCCCGCCCCUUGGCCGCAGGAAGGGGCUUUGCCUGACGACAGCACCCAGCUUUAUGUAAAUACCCCAGCACCGUUAGUUGGGAGGCGUGGAGCACACCCACAGCCCCCAGGCUGCUCUGAAUGUGUUGCAGAGCCUCGGGGGAGAUGCACAGCACCCUUGGAUUCUGUUGACUAACUUUGGAGAUGGAAUAAAUGUUUUUCUCAUUCAUAAUCUCCAUUGUCAUGGGUAGGGCCUCUGUCUAGGGGUAGGAGAAAGAGAAAUUCCACCCUGAGGUACACCCUCUGGCCGAGGUCUUAUGGAACCUGUAUUUUGAACAGAGUUGUGGCAGUCUGGCCCUCCAGCGUGCCUAGCAGCUCCCCGCCACCCCCACCCCCCCACCGACCCAGGGUCUCAUUGCUCACGCUGCCCUCCCAUCAGCAUCUUAAAAUAGUAACUGUGCUCAGCCUGUAAACAACAUGGCUUUUCUGGGCCGCUCUGCCAGGGUCCUGGUGUGCCCCUGGAGGGGCAGGGGCCCUCUGCUUCCCAUAGACAGGGCUCAGCACCUCUGCAGCCUGUUCCGGACACACAGGGGGCCGGCCUGACUGCCCAGCCCGCCCCAGGGAACAAGCCCGGCUCAGGCAGGAGGCCAGGGCCCCCAGGGCAACUCGGGGCUUCCCCUUUUGAGCCCAGACAGGGAGCUGUCAAAAGUGGGCCCCAACAGUUUCAAAAUCCCGAGUAAAAACUAAUAGGGUUUGGGAAUUACGCUCUCAUCACUGUACUGCACCUUUGUAACCUGGGACCAACCGCGAGCAAAGGGGAGGGAGAAGCUGGGGCGAGGGUGGGGAACCCGGACCCCCAUGUGCAUGGGGCACACCUACAGCCCAGGCUCAUCCCAUCCACACCUGACCUGGCGCACUCUUGCCUCCGUGUAAGCUGCCCACAGCGUAUUUUCUGAGGCACAGCAGAGCUGGUCUUCUUGGCUCCUGAACUGUCAAGUGUCUGUUUCACAAACAAAACCUGACCUCACAGCCCCAUCUGGCAGCACAGACCAAAGCUUCAUCUUUCCAACCUGGGCCUCAGGCUCCUUCAUCCACCCAUCUUGACCUGAAACCUGCCCCGACAGAAGAGCAGGCAGACAUUCCUCUCAGGACACACUUCACGAUCAUUUCUCAGUUAAAAAGCAUUGUGGCUAAGAGAUCAGUAGUACUAGAAAAUGAUUUGAAAAGAAAUCCCCACACCUAAAUCAGGUCACAGCUGUCUCCAGUGAGACCUGGGGAAUCCCAGACAGUUAAAGAGAAAUAACGCUUUCAUCAACCAGUAAAGUUUAAUAUUAGUUAUUAAUAUCACACACUACAACAGAAAAAUCACAGCCCCUGCUUUAAAAGACAAGCCCCUGGGAUCUGAGCCCCAGCAGGGUGUCACCCACAUGGAAGAAGCUGUAAUUCUGGAGAAAAUGAUCGCCAGAGCAGGAAGGGCUUUUGGCCCAAAGGGAAGUAAGAGAGAACAAGUCCAGCCAUCCUCAGAAGGGCCAGGAGCCCGUCCCAGGCAGGAGGACUAAAGUCUUUGCACUAGAGGAGGCUCGGUGCUGAGCCAGAGGUGCUGGUGCUCCGACUUCCCAGUGAGAACAGAAACUCAACAGCAAAAGCCACAAAAGGGGAAGAAGCCAGGAGCGCUGAUGCCACAGGAGCUCGCGCCUCCGGCCUCACCGCUUGGAGAGGGAGGGACUCACGUCAGCAGUGGCCCCGCGCCCGCCUGGGGUGGAUUGUGAGUAGUCUGGGAAGGGAACUGAGGGAAGCCGGCGGGCAGGCAAGGAGGGAAGUGUGAUGUGCAGACCACCGGCCCGUGGCCCUUGGCCGGGGAAGGGGCGCUGGUGAAACUUCACCCCCCACCCCCGCUUCCUCCUCCGAGAAGGCCGGGCAGCACGCAGGGGGCAGGCGUCCGCCAGGGGGCAGCAGCAGGCACGGGAGCGGGUGGCCGGUCAGCGCCUGUCCUGGGUGUGGGGCCUGUGCCUCAGUUGGCCGGGCUGCACUGCAGGAUCUGAUGAGGAGCGAAUAGCUUCCUGGCUCCCAUGGCCUCCCCGGGCUUUCCCAGCACUGGGCAGUUCUCUUUAUUCUCUUUGCUGUCCAGCCCGACAGGCUGACCCGAGGCCUUCUUGAAGUAGCAGAGGCGGCACACGGAGUGGUACUUGUCUGCUCCUCCUAUCACCUCGACCUGGCCAUGGGACAGGAAGCGCCAGGACUGAGCGGGGACACAGCACCACCCCCGCCCCUCCACCCCUUGGAGAAGGCAGGAGGCGCCACCUCUUUCUCCACGCCCAGCCUCUUGGUGUAGGCGGCCUCUCGGAAGCACUCCAUGCACACCGCCGUCAGCUUCACCACACUCUCGGCCAGGGGCACCAGGUUCAGGAUGGUCCCGAAAGCCUGUAUUCCCAUGGAAAGACUGGUGUGCACUUACCUCACCGGGUGGGCUUUUCCUUGAAACCCUCUGAUUCACAGCCCUGAAGCCAGGAAACUAGGCCCUGACCUUGCUUUCCCCCAGAGCACCAGCCCCUGCAGCAGGCGGCCUAGUCUGGGGCAAACCAGGGAGCUGGGUCUGGCUCGCCUGAGCGCCUGGGCUCUGGCAGUCUGGUCAUCCAGGGCGCGGUGAGCUGUCCAUCUGUGCACAGCCCCGGCCCCUUCCUCCCUCCUGGGUCCCAUCCCGAGACCUGGACCAGACGCCUUACCUUCCUCUGGAAGGUCCCAUCCAGUGCAGCCACAAUGACGGUCUUCCCGGCAUUGGCCAUGGUCUCGCUGAACUCCACGAUGUCGGGGAACUGGAAAGGGUGAGAGGAGGAGUGAGCUUCCGCCCUGGGCAGCAGCUUCUAGGAGCCACGAACACGUGGCUGGACCCAACAGCUCUGGCCACCUGGAUCGGCGUGGAGCGCGAGAAUAGGGUGGCCCCAGCCCCCCACACCCGGCACGCUGCCUGCACAUCUGCAGCAGCCCCAGUCGCUCCACCAUCCUGCCAGCUUUCCAUGGCAGACCCGGGGCCCACUCCAGGCCAAGCACCCGGAACAGUCACCAGGAGAGGCAGUCUGCUACCGCAGUGGUCAAAAGCCCAGGCCAGAGGCUGCCUUGGGCUUGAACCGUGGUCUUGGUUGGACCCAUUAGCUGUGACCUUGGCAAUGACUUCACGUUUCUGAGCCCAAGAAAAGGCAAGGAAGGCCCUUGGUGGUGGUUAGGGAUUCAGGAGCCUCGAAUAAUUUAUGACAUAUGCUAUAUGGCCGAGAGGCAGGCUCUGUGUGCUUGCUUUUCUUUAAAAACAUAAUGUGCCCAUGUGACGCCUUGAGAAGGGGUGAGGGUUCCACUGGCCACUUAGAGCAGGAUGGCACGGCACACCCUUCUAAAUACAGGGCCUGCAGAAAGGUCACUUACUUGGGAAAUCAAAUUUCAAGUGGCCCAGGGCAAGGCUGCUACUUAAAUUCUUUGGUGAACUUUCACUGGUCAAUCAUCUGUCUAGAUUGGUCUUUGGGUUGGGUGAAGUGGGGAGUUCUUGUGUUUGGGCAAAGGGUCUCUCUCCAAGCCGUUCAUGUAGGUGCAAAAUUACCAAGACCUGAGGGCUCAGCAAGACGAGGUCCAGGAGAGGGGUUAGAAAACCUGGAUCAGUUCCAGCGGGAUUCACCGAAGCCAGAUCUGACGGCCUCUGCAGGGCUGCCGAGCCUGAGCUACGGAAACAGCACCUCCCACCCAGAGGCUCCAGCCUGGCUCCAGAUCCAGCACCUGGGCUGACCUGCCGUGAGCCACUUCCUGAACAAGGUUUGAUGAGGGGAGAGGACCGAAAGGGGAGAUCAGGAAGCCAAGAAGUAGUUUCACCCUCGUCCUUAUCUUGCCGAGAGGUGGCGCCCUCAUGAUGCACGAGGGAAGCACCCCAGCCCUGCCCCGGUGGAGGCCCAGCUUCCCGGCAGCCAGGCUGGUGUUGAAGGCGCAAAGGCCACAGAGGACAGGAACGAAGGACGUGACACUGAAACAUUCAACCGUUCCACCAUGAAUGGUAGAGACUAAAUGAGAUGCACAGACCAAAUCCAGAGGCAAAUAAACAGGGAAGAAAUAUUUACAGCAUGUGACAAACUGGCACCGAUUACACCAUGUCCUGUAGAGGAAAGAUCAACCAAGAGAAGGAGGCAAUUUACAAAAGUAGAAACACAGGGAAAAUGAUGUCAGCCACCCGAGCAACAAAGGAGAAGGGCAGUUGGAACAGGAUGUGUGUAUGCAGCCGCCAACACCCUGCCCUCCACCGCCGGGGAUUUCCGCAAACACCCAGAUGCCUCUCCCCCCACCCCCCACGCUGUCCAUGCUCCUCCAGCAGAGGAGACGCCCUGGGCGGCUUCCAGGCUCUCCCAGGGUUACCGCCAAAGUCUUUCCCGCUGACCUGGCCAAAGCCCCUGGCCUCCUGGCUGCUCCUGAGACAUGCCCAAAAGCACACUCCUGACUGGGAACCUUCACCCCACUUUCCUUUUGGCCCCUUUCUGACCGUCCUCAUAAAGCAUCAUCCCCACCUUAGCUCUACCCCCUCACAGUGCCUUUCUCCCCCGGUUGCCACCACCUUUUACGUAUUUCUCUCCCCCAACUAGAAUAUAAGUGCGAGGGUGAGACCCUGGCUGUAUCCCCAACACCUAGAACAUCGCUGCCACACAGCACAAGCUCAGAAAACACUUACUGAAUGAAUGAGAUCGGUCCCUUGACCAGUGAUUCUACUUAGUGGAUAAACCCCAAUACACCGGACGACAGCCAGGAUGUCCGCACACACGUCCGUCACAGCCUGUAAGUGCCACACCCAAGGGGCCAGCUCGUGGAAGACAUGGGAUGUUCAUAAGGAUAGGUAUUUGCUGAUGAGGAAAAAAUGGUCACAACACGUGAUAUGAGCCCGAUCUAUAAAUACGAACUUCCGGCAAGGCCAUUCUGUGACUGUGAUGGUCAAGACAAAACCAGACCCCUCCUAGGGAAUUCCCUGGUGGUCCCAGUGGUCUCCGCGCUCUCACUGCUGAGGGCCCGGGUUCAAUCCCUGGUCAGGGAACUGGAUCCCACGUGCUGCAACUAAAGAUCCCGCACGCUGCAACGAAGACCCCGUGUGCUGCAACUAAGACCCAGCACAGACAAAAAAAAAAAUUAAAAAGAAACAGAGAGGAAGGGGCCCAUGAAAAUCCUACCAUGGCCCCGGGCAGACCAUUAGCGCCAGAAUCUAAGACUAGGCGCCGCGCGCACCAGCAGAGAUAAGCCACGAACACCGACCAGCAGUGCAGUGACCUAGGAUUCCCUCCCUUUGACUCCUCUGGUUGAUUGAUUAAAGGAUUUCUCAGAGAUCAUAGAGCUAUUAAAGGGCAGAGUCAGGAUUCAGAUCCGCAUUCAUACCGCUGCCUCGUGUGUCCUGAGGGGAGGUUCCUACCCAGCAGAGUCUGAAAGUGAAAGGCCAUGUGUGGGAGUGUUCCAGUGCAUUCAAUGACGCGGUGGACCCCACCCUGCCCCACAGCCAGGCCUUUUGGAAGAGGAAUGCUGUUCUUUGUCUUCUAGUUUCUGUUUUUCUGCAAUGUUAUUUUCUUCUGUUUCCAUUUUUGCCUGCUCCUCUGAACUACCCUUCCAAGGAGCUAGGAGUUUCCUGACGGCUCUGCAGUUUUGCAGCUAUAUAUUUAUGUAAAACUUUACAACUACUUAGUGAUGAUCUUGCUUUGAUCCUGGCAGGCAAUGCAAGCCGGUUCCAGCUUCAGCAAGAGCAGCGUCUCUGGAGCACCGUCACCCCUGCCAAGCGCUAGGCCUCUGCUGCAGCUCGUCUGGGCCUCUACAGCCCAGAUUAGAGAGGAUUUGUGACACUGGGG
Molecule: long non-coding RNA, 6045 nt
Organism: Lagenorhynchus albirostris (white-beaked dolphin)
Lineage: Eukaryota; Metazoa; Chordata; Mammalia; Artiodactyla; Delphinidae
Exons: 3
Source: RefSeq, a predicted model, not a curated record